UAGGGAAUCUUCGGCAAUGGGGGGAACCCUGACCGAGCAACGCCGCGUGAGUGAAGAAGGUUUUCGGAUCGUAAAGCUCUGUUGUUAAGGAAGAACGAGUGUGAGAAUGGAAAGUUCAUGCUGUGACGGUACUUAACCAGAAAGGGACGGCUAACUACGUGCCAGCAGCCGCGGUAAUACGUAAGGUCCGAGCGUUGUCCGGAAUCAUUGGGCGUAAAGGGUACGUAGGCGGAUAAGCAAGAUAGAAGUGAAAUCCUAUAGCUCAACUAUAGUAAGCUUUUAAAACUGCUCAUCUUGAGGUAUGGAAGGGAAAGUGGAAUUCCUAGUGUAGCGGUGAAAUGCGCAGAUAUUAGGAGGAAUACCGGUGGCGAAGGCGACUUUCUGGCCAUAUACUGACGCUGAGGUACGAAAGCGUGGGUAGCAAACAGG
RNAcentral lists this ribosomal RNA (429 nucleotides) under Verrucomicrobiota bacterium. RNAcentral's name for it is "Verrucomicrobia bacterium partial 16S ribosomal RNA". It matches the Rfam family "Bacterial small subunit ribosomal RNA", at positions 355 to 776 of the family's 1533-position model. The record is from RNAcentral. Lineage: Bacteria; Pseudomonadati; Verrucomicrobiota.